Molecule: long non-coding RNA, 713 nt
Organism: Neofelis nebulosa (Clouded leopard)
Lineage: Eukaryota; Metazoa; Chordata; Mammalia; Carnivora; Felidae
Exons: 2
Source: RefSeq, a predicted model, not a curated record
CUCUCAGCAGCCACUGCCAAGAGCAAUGCCUGCCUGCCACUCCAGUUGUAAGACAAAUGCCUGCUGGGAAGGGCAGAAGGAACAGUACUCGGUGGCCAGGUCAGAAGCCAGGCCAGAAGUCAAACCCAGCCUCCCAUGUCCACAUUGGUGGCCUCACUGCCGGUCUGGGUUCAAAGGAGACACGGGUAUGGCUGCAGCAGGGCCCCAUGGUAGGAGCAUGUGUUCCAGAAGAUCAGGCAGCCUGACAUUAUUCUAGUCCCACGUAUGGGAGCCACUGCCUGGGAGGAAGGGCCCUCUCCCCUCUGGAACCCGCAGUGCGUGCCCAGGCAGCCUCGGGCUCAAGCGACCUGCCCCGCUGCAGCUGGAGACCAUGGAACUUUCCAGGGGAGUCAUGAAAGGAAAGCUUGACAAAGGAGAAGAUGGGCAGAGACAUUUUUUUCCAGCAGAGGAUUAUGAUGUUUCAUUGUGGUCAAGCCGAGCAUCUGCCAUACGCAAGAUGAAGCUUCUGUUCCCAGACAUUUAGAGAGUACCAGCAGGAAUGGACAUCGGAAAUAGAUAUCCUUAUUUACACACCAGGCCUUCUGAUUCAUCUAGUUGUCCCAACCGGGUUCCUAAUGGCCUCUACUAGAAUGAAAGAGCAUUACAGACCUUCCAGGUUCUUUGUAUACUUACAAGCAAUAAAAUGUUAUGUCCCACAAGGGGCCUUCCCCUCC